GCGGGUGUGGCGGAAUUGGCAGACGCGCUAGAUUUAGGUUCUAGUGUCCUUUUGGACGUAUGGGUUCAAGUCCCUUCUCCCGCA
RNAcentral lists this transfer RNA (84 nucleotides) under Bombilactobacillus apium. It matches the Rfam family "tRNA". Rfam says of the family: Transfer RNA (tRNA) molecules are approximately 80 nucleotides in length. Lineage: Bacteria; Bacillati; Bacillota; Bacilli; Lactobacillales; Lactobacillaceae. The record is from Rfam by way of RNAcentral.